This 2503-nucleotide ribosomal RNA is filed under the name Enterococcus faecalis. RNAcentral's name for it is "partial 23S ribosomal RNA". It matches the Rfam family "Bacterial large subunit ribosomal RNA", at positions 1 to 2515 of the family's 2925-position model. The record is from RNAcentral. Lineage: Bacteria; Bacillati; Bacillota; Bacilli; Lactobacillales; Enterococcaceae.
AGGUUAAGUGAAUAAGGGCGCACGGUGGAUGCCUUGGCACUAGGAGCCGAUGAAGGACGGGACUAACACCGAUAUGCUUUGGGGAGCUGUAAGUAAGCUAUGAUCCAGAGAUUUCCGAAUGGGGGAACCCAAUAUCUUUUAUAGGAUAUUACUUUUCAGUGAAUACAUAGCUGAUUAGAGGUAGACGCAGAGAACUGAAACAUCUUAGUACCUGCAGGAAGAGAAAGAAAAUUCGAUUCCCUGAGUAGCGGCGAGCGAAACGGGAAGAGCCCAAACCAACAAGCUUGCUUGUUGGGGUUGUAGGACUCCAAUAUGGUAGUCUGUUAGUAUAGUUGAAGGAUUUGGAAAAUUCCGCUAAAGAGGGUGAAAGCCCCGUAGACGAAAUGCURACAACACCUAGGAGGAUCCUGAGUACGGCGGAACACGAGAAAUUCCGUCGGAAUCCGCGGGGACCAUCCCGCAAGGCUAAAUACUCCCUAGUGACCGAUAGUGAACCAGUACCGUGAGGGAAAGGUGAAAAGCACCCCGGAAGGGGAGUGAAAUAGAUCCUGAAACCGUGUGCCUACAACAAGUCAAAGCUCGUUAAUGAGUGAUGGCGUGCCUUUUGUAGAAUGAACCGGCGAGUUACGAUUGCAUGCGAGGUUAAGUCGAAGAGACGGAGCCGCAGCGAAAGCGAGUCUGAAUAGGGCGAAUGAGUAUGUAGUCGUAGACCCGAAACCAUGUGAUCUACCCAUGUCCAGGUUGAAGGUGCGGUAAAACGCACUGGAGGACCGAACCCACGUACGUUGAAAAGUGCGGGGAUGAGGUGUGGGUAGCGGAGAAAUUCCAAACGAACUUGGAGAUAGCUGGUUCUCUCCGAAAUAGCUUUAGGGCUAGCCUCGGAAUUGAGAAUGAUGGAGGUAGAGCACUGUUUGGACUAGGGGCCCAUCUCGGGUUACCGAAUUCAGAUAAACUCCGAAUGCCAUUCAUUUAUAUCCGGGAGUCAGACUGCGAGUGAUAAGAUCCGUAGUCGAAAGGGAAACAGCCCAGACCACCAGCUAAGGUCCCAAAAUAUAUGUUAAGUGGAAAAGGAUGUGGGGUUGCACAGACAACUAGGAUGUUGGCUUAGAAGCAGCCACCAUUUAAAGAGUGCGUAAUAGCUCACUAGUCGAGUGACCCUGCGCCGAAAAUGUACCGGGGCUAAACAUAUUACCGAAGCUGUGGACUACACCAUUAGGUGUAGUGGUAGGAGAGCGUUCUAAGGGCGUUGAAGGUCGAUCGUGAGGACGGCUGGAGCGCUUAGAAGUGAGAAUGCCGGUAUGAGUAGCGAAAGACAGGUGAGAAUCCUGUCCACCGUAUGACUAAGGUUUCCUGGGGAAGGCUCGUCCGCCCAGGGUUAGUCGGGACCUAAGCCGAGGCCGAUAGGCGUAGGCGAUGGACAACAGGUUGAUAUUCCUGUACCAGUUGUUUUUGUUUGAGCAAUGGAGGGACGCAGUAGGCUAAGGAAUGCAUGCGAUUGGAAGUGCAUGUCCAAGCAAUGAGUCUUGAGUAGAGUUAAAUGCUUUACUCUYUAAGGACAAGUUGUGACGGGGAGCGAAAUAAUAGUAGCGAAGUUCCUGAUGUCACACUGCCAAGAAAAGCUUCUAGUGAGAAAACAACUGCCCGUACCGUAAACCGACACAGGUAGUCGAGGAGAGUAUCCUAAGGUGAGCGAGCGAACUCUCGUUAAGGAACUCGGCAAAAUGACCCCGUAACUUCGGGAGAAGGGGUGCUGACUUCGGUCAGCCGCAGUGAAUAGGCCCAAGCGACUGUUUAUCAAAAACACAGGUCUCUGCAAAAUCGUAAGAUGAAGUAUAGGGGCUGACGCCUGCCCGGUGCUGGAAGGUUAAGAGGAUGGGUUAGCUUCGGCGAAGCUCAGAAUUGAAGCCCCAGUAAACGGCGGCCGUAACUAUAACGGUCCUAAGGUAGCGAAAUUCCUUGUCGGGUAAGUUCCGACCCGCACGAAAGGCGUAACGAUUUGGGCACUGUCUCAACGAGAGACUCGGUGAAAUUUUAGUACCUGUGAAGAUGCAGGUUACCCGCGACAGGACGGAAAGACCCCAUGGAGCUUUACUKUAGUUUGAUAUUGAGUGUUUGUACCACAUGUACAGGAUAGGUAGGAGCCGAUGAGACCGGAACGCUAGUUUCGGAGGAGGCGCUGGUGGGAUACUACCCUUGUGUUAUGAACCCUCUAACCCGCACCACUAAUCGUGGUGGGAGACAGUGUCAGAUGGGCAGUUUGACUGGGGCGGUCGCCUCCUAAAAGGUAACGGAGGCGCCCAAAGGUUCCCUCAGAAUGGUUGGAAAUCAUUCGAAGAGUGUAAAGGCAGAAGGGAGCUUGACUGCGAGACCUACAAGUCGAGCAGGGACGAAAGUCGGGCUUAGUGAUCCGGUGGUUCCGCAUGGAAGGGCCAUCGCUCAACGGAUAAAAGCUACCCUGGGGAUAACAGGCUUAUCUCCCCCAAGAGUCCACAUCGACGGGGAG